CAGUCGCCGCGGUAAAACGAAGGGGGCUAGCGUUGUUCGGAUUUACUGGGCGUAAAGCGCACGUAGGCGGAUCGUUAAGUCGGGGGUGAAAUCCUGGAGCUCAACUCCAGAACUGCCUUCGAUACUGGCGAUCUUGAGUCCGGAAGAGGUGAGUUGAACUCCUAGUGUAGAGGUGGAAUUCGUAGAUAUUAGGAAGAACACCAGUGGCGAAGGCGGCUCACUGGUCCGGUACUGACGCUGAGGUGCGAAAGCGUGGGGAGCAAACAGGAUUAGAUACCCCGGUAGUCCCUGUCUCUUAUAC
This 301-nucleotide ribosomal RNA is filed under the name uncultured bacterium. RNAcentral describes it as "partial 16S ribosomal RNA". It matches the Rfam family "Bacterial small subunit ribosomal RNA", at positions 509 to 807 of the family's 1533-position model. The record is from RNAcentral.